Astatotilapia calliptera (eastern happy) is the source of this 2708-nucleotide long non-coding RNA. Lineage: Eukaryota; Metazoa; Chordata; Actinopteri; Cichliformes; Cichlidae. The record is from Ensembl.
UGAUGACAUUUUUAUUAUCACAGACGGGGAAAUGACAAACUUAAGAGAUCAUUUUCAAAAUAUAGAUUAGAGUAACACUUGUCUGUCCAGAUCUAUUGAGCCACAGCUUUGUCAUCAUAUUUUCAUCCUGAUCAAAUACAGUCGCUCGCUGUUUCUGUCUGGUCCUCCGUAGCAUUUUCUCUCUUUCAGUCGAGGACUUGAAGAGAUGAAUAACAUUUUUAGACAUGAAUAGUUGUGAAUUAACGCCGCCUUCAACUGAAUAAGCUGAAUUUAUCUGAAUCAAUGUUGCUUUUUUGACUGUUAAUGUUACAGAGUGUCAGUCUUUCAGUUUGUUUUGCUAAUAGUCAGCAGAAUACUUGAGAAGCUAGUUGCAAUGUGUCAGCAAAAUUAGCGUGUGUGCUGUUUCUUUGGUUAACUCUAUCAAUAAACAUUGAGUUUAUUAGCAUUGCUUUCUUUUAAAUGUUACUAUAUGCUAGCAUUGCAGAAACGAUAGCCAUGAAGUUAGCUACUGUACUGUACUUCAUUAGCCUGUGGUUGCUAGCUGAGUAGGUAAAAUCAUUGAUAACAGAUCUUCUGGGGAAACAUUGUUUACCUGGGAUGAUAUCGUUAGCUCAUCAGACGGUGUAUGUUGGGUCGUAGCUACUGCUAGCUCUGUAGAUAAUAUUAGCUAAUGAGUGAACAAUUUCUAGCUAAAUAAAAAGGCUGGAGUAUCUGGUUAUUACAAAGCUUAUAGCUAACAUAAUUAGAAUAUGCGGCUUAUCUCAUCCGAUUUAGGUCUUUGACAGACCUGACCUCACUGUAGUGGUUUCUUACAGUGGGCAGUUCUGCAUUUAUCUGAUAUUUAUUUGUUUCAGCCUCGGAUGAUCCCGGAGACAUUGUGUGGUUUAUCUUCGUGCUAUUUUGUCUGUGCUAAAUGACUAUAACUCGUAUUUGCCAGGUAGAAACAGACCAGCUAGAGUCCAACCCUGACUCAGUGACAGGAUGGACUUCUCCAUCUCCAUGUUUUGGUCUCGCACUCAGACUGCAACGCCCUGCGAUGUCCCAGCAGCCAGAGGUUUGAUCCUGGGACGUACACCUCCUGCCACAGCUCUGCACUGCUGCUGAUGCAUGAAAUCCUGCAGCAAACUGUGGCCAUGACAAACCUGCACGGGACUCACUCAGUGGGUUAUGUGGACACAGACUAACUGCGUUUGUGUUAACAGGUCAAAAAAUGAAUCCGUUUAAAUCUGCAGGGUGCUGCUGCGAGCCCCUCUCAUCAGCGGUGUUACUUUUGCACGGACAGAAAGAGCAGAGCUGGCAGCAGCGCCGGAAGCUUCCAUGCAAAGACCAGCCUGUGCGUUUGCUCCACCUCAGCUGGAGUCCCUCUUUAAAGGGUUAAUAUUGUAAUAAUAUAUGAAAUGUUGCUGCCAAUGACCUAUCUCAAGAAUCCUAUACUACUUAUUGAAAUAAUUUUAGUUUUAAUAAUAAACAUCAGCAGCUGUACGGGUGUGCAAACAUGCUGUUCUAUAAAGGGUUAAAAUCCCAAAAGUAUCAUUAAAUACGAGUCGUUUUUAAAAAACUGAUAUUUUCACAGCUUUUUUGGGGAAGUUGCCGUUUUGUGGUCACGAGUGUCAGAUGUCUUUUUUAUUUUGACGUUAGAUUAUUUGCUGCAAUCAUACAGCAGUUUAAGGGAAGGUGUCUGUCGAAGCGCUCGAAUUAAACUACCUCAAACUCUGAGCAGCUGGAUAGUUACUGUCUGCUUAUUGCAGCUCUUUAAUGAGACAUGCAGUACAUGUUAAAUUAUUACCUGUCGGGUAGUAAAGAGCUUUUGAAAAAUCCAUAUUUGUCUCACACAGAGACACGUCUUCCCUAAAACUGCUCUAACGUCAGGUGUGCCGGUCGUUUCUGUGUUAUGUGGUUAUAAAGGUGAGAAAUAUUAACUUUGAAGGUAAUUUCCCACAAAAACGACAAGCUGUGCUGUUUCACAAGCCUCGGUGUCUGUCAGUGUGCGCUGCUGUGUUUGUCUUGGCCUGCGUGGAGCACCUCCAUGCCAAAGCACGUUACCACCCUUGUUGGCGUGCAACCUCGAGUGACGAGAAGCCGGCAGGAGCGAGCGAGGAGAGGCGGUGAUGCAAAGGUUGUGGUUUCCUUUAAUAGCCCCGCAGACACGAUGAGCGCCAUCGUCUUCGUUUUCACUAAACUACCGAGAAAACUGGAGUGUCUGCGCUGAGCCGGCGCUGCUGUCACGUUCAGCCUGAAGCAGAAAAGAACACAAAAGGAAGCCGGGGUAAAAAAUCAGACAAGUUGCAACUGAAAAGACAAAAGAUAAGAGUCAGUCAGGCUGGUGGAAGGAGGCGAAUGAGCGUGAUCAGAGAAUGCUGCCGUGCCCCACAGCUGAAACUAGUGCACUGCAGUGUUGAGCUAGUUAGAAAUUACUGUUCCCUUUACCCUGCGCUGAACCUCAGCUACUGCUCUGGGAGUGCGCCUUCCUGUGUUCGCCUCUUUGAGGUUGGAAAAUCAUGCAGUCAUGUUUUAUUAAUGCUCUCUGUGUGUCUGUCUCGCGCUCCGUCUUUCUCUCCCGUUUUGACUGCUUCCCCACAAAAGUGAAGAAGAGAUUUGGAACAGCGUGUUUUAUUUGUUCUGCAUCCUCUUUUCACGUUGAAUCGAGCCGCUUUAUGUAGGUUGAGGUUUUGAUUUGGAGGGGAACUGAAACCGGUUAGCGAGGUCGG